This 233-nucleotide ribosomal RNA is filed under the name uncultured Coprobacillus sp. Its description in RNAcentral is "partial 16S ribosomal RNA". It matches the Rfam family "Bacterial small subunit ribosomal RNA", at positions 796 to 1041 of the family's 1533-position model. Lineage: Bacteria; Bacillati; Bacillota; Erysipelotrichia; Erysipelotrichales; Coprobacillaceae. The record is from RNAcentral.
CACGCCGUAAACGAUGAGUACUAAGUGUUGGGAAACCAGUGCUGAAGUUAACGCAUUAAGUACUCCGCCUGAGAAGUACGUUCGCAAGAAUGAAACUCAAAGGAAUUGACGGGGGCCCGCACAAGCGGUGGAGCAUGUGGUUUAAUUCGACGCAACGCGAAGAACCUUACCAGGUCUUGACAUCCGGUGCAAGACACUAGAGAUAGUGGGAUAGUUAUGGCCGAGACAGGUGG